ACUCAUUUGCACAAUGGUGACCCCGCCCCUGUUGAUUUUGACCCUAGGCAACUGUUACUCAGGGUAACCACCCCAGGUACAAUUACCAAGGGUCAUCAAAUGUGCAUCAAAUCCAAUAAUCUUCAAAGAUACUCUAUCUAUGUUAACUCAGGUUCCAUGCCUGCCAUUCUUGCCCAUCUUCAGUAUCCUGGUCAACAGCUACCUAAUGGGUCAACUCAGCAGCAACACCUGGCUUCUGUUUAUGGUGUGUAUGGCUUUUGGCCUCCUGAUUUAUUUUGGCUAUGGGAUCUUCCAGAGUGCAGACAGACACCAGGGCAAAGAUCCAUCCCCACCGGAGAACAGAGAACAUGCAACAAGGGAUACAGAUUCAGCUGUCACUUGGAGAAAAAAGGGCUCUAAGGAAACCACAGUGUGGAACUACUGAUUUUUACUGAUGGGAAGGACUUUAUCCUGAUAGUCUGACAAAGAUGGAUUCCUCUAUGGUUUAAAUGUAUGUGUUUGUAUCUAUCUAUAGUACAAAAUACACUUUAGCAAAAUGGAUACUUAGAUGCAGAUUGUUGACAGACGAGGUGUGCAGAGUGGCCAAGAGUGGGAGUGGCACUCUUUGGGUGGCUUUAGCAAGCUGCUAUUCUCAAUGAUAACAGUCGCCUGUUCUCCAGGGAUGUUGUAGAGAUUACUGCAGGAAUGUUUGUGAAAUGCUUUUUAACACUUGAAAUGCAAGAUAAACACUUAUUUUACAUA
Hemicordylus capensis (graceful crag lizard) is the source of this 741-nucleotide long non-coding RNA. RefSeq lists it as uncharacterized. The transcript is spliced from 2 exons. The record is from RefSeq and is a predicted model, not a curated record. NCBI's taxonomy places the organism in Eukaryota, Metazoa, Chordata, Lepidosauria, Squamata, Cordylidae.